This 82-nucleotide transfer RNA is filed under the name Actinomadura macrotermitis. It matches the Rfam family "tRNA". Rfam says of the family: Transfer RNA (tRNA) molecules are approximately 80 nucleotides in length. Lineage: Bacteria; Bacillati; Actinomycetota; Actinomycetes; Streptosporangiales; Thermomonosporaceae. The record is from Rfam by way of RNAcentral. RNAcentral also lists the same sequence under 1 other name.
GGCGGGUUGCCCGAGUGGCCAAUGGGAGCGGACUGUAAAUCCGUCGGCUUAGCCUACGCAAGUUCGAACCUUGCACCCGCCA